GGGUCAUGCUUCCAAGAAAAGCCCUAUACCCGUUAAGGCAUGAUGGCCUGUACCCGAAACCGACACAGGUGGGGUGGUAGAGAAUACCGAGGGGCGCGAGGUAACUCUCUCUAAGGAACUCGGCAAAAUGGCCCCGUAACUUCGGGAGAAGGGGUGCCACCGCAAGGUGGUCGCAGUGAAGAGGCCCAGGCGACUGUUUACCAAAAACACAGGUCUCCGCUAAGUCGCAAGACGAUGUAUGGGGGCUGACGCCUGCCCAGUGCCGGAAGGUUAAGGAAGCUGGUCAGCGUAAGCGAAGCUAGCGACUGAAGCCCCGGUGAACGGCGGCCGUAACUAUAACGGUCCUAAGGUAGCGAAAUUCCUUGUCGGGUAAGUUCCGACCCGCACGAAAGGCGUAACGAUCUGGGCGCUGUCUCGGAGAGAGGCUCGGCGAAAUAGAAUUGUCUGUGAAGAUGCGGACUACGUGCACCCGGACAGAAAGACCCUAUGAAGCUUUACUGUAGCUUGGUAUUGUGCUCGGGCUCGGAAUGCGCAGGAUAGGUGGGAGGCUAUGAACCAUUGCUUGUGGGUGAUGGUGAGCCACUGGUGAGAUACCACUCUUUCCGAGCUAGAGUUCUAACAGCCACCCGUUAUCCGGGGGCUGGACAGUAUCAGGUGGGCAGUUUGACUGGGGCGGUCGCCUCCUAAAAGGUAACGGAGGCGCGCAAAGGUUUGCUCAGGCUGGUUGGAAAUCAGCCGACGAGUGUAAAAGCAGAAGCAAGCUUGACUGUGAGACCUACAAGUCGAACAGGGAGGAAACUCGGCUUUAGUGAUCCGACGGUUCUGCGUGGAAGGGCCGUCGCUCAACGGAUAAAAGUUACUCUAGGAUAACAGGCUGAUCUCCCCCAAGAGUUCACAUCGACGGGGAGGUUUGGCACCUCGAUGUCGGCUCAUCGCAACCUGGGGCUGAAGUCGGUCCCAAGGGUUGGGCUGUUCGCCCAUUAAAGCGGUACGCGAGCUGGGUUCAGAACGUCGUGAGACAGUUCGGUCCAUAUCCGGUGCAUGCGCAGGAAUAUUGAGAGGAUUUCUCCCUAGUACGAGAGGACCGGGAGGAACGCACCUCUGGUGUACCAGUUAUCGUGCCAACGGUAAACGCUGGGUAGCCAUGUGCGGAGAGGAUAACCGCUGAAAGCAUCUAAGUGGGAAGCCCACCUCAAGAUGAGUAUUCCCAUGGGGUAACCCAGUAAGGUCACGGGAAGAACACCCGUUGAUAGGCUCUACGUGGAAGCGCAGUAAUGUGUGAAGCGGAGGAGUACUAAUAGUCCGAGGGCUUGAC
This 1315-nucleotide ribosomal RNA is filed under the name metagenome. RNAcentral's name for it is "bacterial LSU rRNA". It matches the Rfam family "Bacterial large subunit ribosomal RNA", at positions 1597 to 2925 of the family's 2925-position model. The record is from RNAcentral.